GAGGGGAUAGCUCAAUGGUAGAACACCUGCCUAUCAUGCACAAGGCCCUGGGUUCAGUCCCUAGUACCUCCA
RNAcentral lists this transfer RNA (72 nucleotides) under Camelus bactrianus (Bactrian camel). It matches the Rfam family "tRNA". From Rfam's summary of the family: Transfer RNA (tRNA) molecules are approximately 80 nucleotides in length. Their secondary structure includes four short double-helical elements and three loops (D, anti-codon, and T loops). Lineage: Eukaryota; Metazoa; Chordata; Mammalia; Artiodactyla; Camelidae. The record is from Rfam by way of RNAcentral. RNAcentral also lists the same sequence under 2 other names.